RNAcentral lists this ribosomal RNA (497 nucleotides) under uncultured bacterium. RNAcentral describes it as "partial 16S ribosomal RNA". It matches the Rfam family "Bacterial small subunit ribosomal RNA", at positions 28 to 507 of the family's 1533-position model. The record is from RNAcentral.
GAUGAACGCUGGCGGCGUGCCUAAUACAUGCAAGUCGAGCGAACGGACGAGAAGCUUGCUUCUCUGAUGUUAGCGGCGGACGGGUGAGUAACACGUGGAUAACCUACCUAUAAGACUGGGAUAACUUCGGGAAACCGGAGCUAAUACCGGAUAAUCUUUUGAACCGCAUGGUUCAAAAGUGAAAGACGGUCUUGCUGUCACUUAUAGAUGGAUCCGCGCUGCAUUAGCUAGUUGGUAAGGUAACGGCUUACCAAGGCAACGAUGCAUAGCCGACCUGAGAGGGUGAUCGGCCACACUGGAACUGAGACACGGUCCAGACUCCUAGGGGAGGCAGCAGUAGGGAAUCUUCCGCAAUGGGCGAAAGCCUGACGGAGCAACGCCGCGUGAGUGAUGAAGGUCUUCGGAUCGUAAAACUCUGUUAUUAGGGAAGAACAUAUGUGUAAGUAACUGUGCACAUCUUGACGGUACCUAAUCAGAAAGCCACGGCUAACUACGUG